RNAcentral lists this transfer RNA (72 nucleotides) under Camelus bactrianus (Bactrian camel). It matches the Rfam family "tRNA". From Rfam's summary of the family: Transfer RNA (tRNA) molecules are approximately 80 nucleotides in length. Their secondary structure includes four short double-helical elements and three loops (D, anti-codon, and T loops). RNAcentral also lists the same sequence under 1 other name. Lineage: Eukaryota; Metazoa; Chordata; Mammalia; Artiodactyla; Camelidae. The record is from Rfam by way of RNAcentral.
GAGGGUGUAGCUCAGCGGUAGAGCACUUGCCUAGCAUGCAUGAGGUCCUAGGUUCAAUCUCCAGUACCUCCA